CUGGGUGCCAGUUCGGCCCCUGUCACUGCAUUGGCCGCGGCCGUGGAUGCCGCCCACGGUGCGCCAUGGCCCCGCCUUAUACAGCCACCCCAGGUCCCUCUCCCCUCUCGGUUCACUCUCUCAUCCCCCCAAAGACCUCCUCGAUCAGCCUGCUCCUCCUCCCGCGCCUUCCUUCUCCUCCUACCACCGCACGGCCGCCACUUCGGCUCGCUCAAAUUCGAGCAACACCGAGCUCACCUCCCUCCCUUUCCUCCACCCAAAGACUCCCCGUGGUCCGGCGACCCUCCCCACCUCACAAACCGUCGCGGGGAUGCACGACUGCUGAGAGCCCCGGAUGGCCGACGACCUCCGCCGCCACCGUCAAAGCUGCGGUCACCUCGGCCCCCUCCAGCGGCCGUGACCUGCACCAACGGAUGCGCCACUCCGCGCUGAGCUCGCCCAUAGGCGGAGCACCGCGGGAGACGGCCGGAGGCGCCGGCUAUCGCCGGACGAGCGCCGGCGUGCGCUCUGCCUCCCCUGCUCUGCCUCGAGCGGGAGGUAGAGGACGACCGCCCCGCCAGCUAGCAGGGGGCCCGCCCGUCAGCGGCAGAGGCGACCGAGCCGGCCCACCAGUCGGGUUAAGUGGAAACGGCUUCGGGCCGAUCCGCUUGCCCAGUGCGCCUUCGGCGUCACCUCCUCCCUCGCGCAGCUGAGCCACUGGGCCGAGCCCAGUAGGCGCUGUUUAGCUGGGCUUCGCCCAGUGCGCUUUAUAAGGCAUGGAAGAGCAGUAGUUCGAAGAAGAGUUCUUUGGAGACGAACAUGCGAACUAGGACGCUUUCCCAGUCAGAAUGCAUGUAGGGUUAAGCCAUAUGGCAUAGGUUCUACUUACCUACGAAGAUUUCCGUUUCUUAAGUUUAUUUGGUAUUCAGCCCUUGUGGCUUUAUCUAUGUAAGACUUGACCAUAAUGGUCAUAAUUUGUGUAAGACGGUAUGUAUGGAUGUAAGACUCUUGUUAUUCAGCUUAUGUGUGUUCAGUGAGCA
Molecule: long non-coding RNA, 1019 nt
Organism: Aegilops tauschii subsp. strangulata
Lineage: Eukaryota; Viridiplantae; Streptophyta; Magnoliopsida; Poales; Poaceae
Source: RefSeq, a predicted model, not a curated record